This 11886-nucleotide long non-coding RNA is filed under the name Medicago truncatula (barrel medic). RNAcentral's name for it is "long non-coding RNA (MTRU_LNC005663)". Lineage: Eukaryota; Viridiplantae; Streptophyta; Magnoliopsida; Fabales; Fabaceae. The record is from RNAcentral.
AUCCUUAUAAAAUUGCGACUUUUAAAGUUAGUAAUUACUUAAUUUUAAUAGUUUUUUUAGUCCUUAUAAAAAAUUCUGCACUCAACAUUAGUCCUUACUCAAUCUAAAUUUGUUUAAUUUAUGUUUAAACUCUUAAUUUUUUUCAACAAUUUUUCGCAAACGUGCUUAUUAAAAGUUCCUCAGCAAAAAAAUAUCGCAAAAAUUUGAUUUCUACAUUUAUAUUUUUGUUACUUUUAUCUUAAACUUUUGUUGUUUAAAAAAAAUAUAUUUAAUUUAUUUCAUGUUAAAAAAUUCUAUAUUUUAGUAUAUGAAUCUUUCAGAGAGUUUUAAACUUGUCUCAAAAAAAUCGUUAAAAAAUUUAUUAAGGACAGUUAAACAAACUUUGUUUUAGCAGGGACUAAAAUUAUAAGUAAUUUUUUUUUAGGGAUUAAAAAAGCUACUAAAAUUAAGUAAGGAUUAAACUUAUAAGUUCUCGAUUUUAUAGGGACCAAAAACAUAUUUAACCCUUUAAAAAAAGUGAUUUUCCUGAACUAAAUAAUUUGUUUGGAUACAUCUAUAUAAACUAGUUUGGUCUUUUGACAUUUAAUUUUCUCUCUCAUAAAAAAAAUCUAUUUUUUGAGAAGCUGUUCUUAACGGCUUCCCAUUUAAAGUUAUUUUUAGAUUCUGAUUUUUUUUAAAAAGCUGUAUCAAAUACAUGCAUUACUCUUAAAAAUGAUUAUUUUAUUUAAUUAAGUGAUUUUUUUCUUAAAAAACUAUAACAAAGGGCUCUUAAAUCUUAAUAAUAUAUAUCAAAUAAUUUUAUUUUGAAGAAACAUAUAUGUAUAGAUUGUGGAAAAGUCACGACUUCAAACAGUAGUUUGCCAUCCAAGACACAAAACCCUACAUGGUAAAUAUUGCUUAAUUUUUUUUCCUUAUGCCUAACUUCUAUUCCUUCAAGAUACUAUAAAUUUUUCUUCUCGUGAGACCCUUGUUCUCAACAAGACUCAUUUGAAAUUCUUUACUCCCUCCGUUCUAAAAUAUAAGCAAAAAUUUUUUAUAUUCUUUGUCUCAAAAUAUAAGCAAAAAAGACCAACUUUUAUGGUAUUAUUAUGUUUUUUUCAAACAAAUAAUCUUUUUCAAUGUAAAAUUAACUACAAAUUGCAUUCAAUGUGUUCUCCUCUUUAUUUUCUCCAUAAUUUUUAACCAAUGAAAAUUAUUUUUACAUAUUUCCAUGAAACUUAUUUCAAGAAGAACAUAAAAAAUUAUACCUCAAAUUACUAAGUGUUAGUUUUUCUUAAUAAAUGUGAAUUAGUGUUUUUUGCUUAUAAAUUAGGACGGAGGAAGUGUCUUCAAGGCUUGAAUUGAAGAACUCCCCCAUUCCAAUCUCCAACCACCUAUCACUUCUCACACAAGGACAUUGCAAUCCUGCUAUAUUGGACAUGCUCCAUCCAGGACCAAGACUUUUGCAAUAUACUUUCCUGGCAUACGAGCUCCUCUCAUGAGGGUUGCUUGUUACUAUUCUGUCGUGCGGCAAAGAUGAGAAUACAAGUGAGAAAAAAACAAAAAUAAAACAAAACAAAUAAAAACUUAAAGGCUAACCUUGAAUCUAAAACGUAGCUUUUGCGAAAUCAUGACAACUCAUCGUAAUUUUGUCAAACUCCCUGCUCAAAUUAAGUGGAGGAAAAAGGUUUCCAUAACUUUUAAAUAUUAAAAUUGAGCUUAUUAUUUUGAACUAAUAUUUAUAAUUUUUUUUUUUAAAAAACUAAUAUUUAUAAUUUAAUUCAUUCAAACAUUAAAAUAAGAACAAUUCUUAUGUUUUGCGGUGAUUUAAAUUCAAGUCCACUUAAGAAACUGCUUCCAUUUAAAUCAAUACUGUUACUCAAGCACGAUCUAUCACAAACUAGUGAGUGCUGGAAGGAGAGCCAAUCCUUCUUCAGUAUACGUUUCAGCUUGCUGUUAAUGAGUAGCAAUAUUGAUUAAAAUCGAACCAAUGCCGUAAAUAUACCAAAAUUUAAAUCACUGGAAUACAUUCAGUCCCCAGCGUUCAGAGUUGAGGGUUCCAAAUCAAUAAAUGGCAGCUAAUUCGUAUUGCAUCACAAAUAUAGCUCGAACAAUCAAGAGUAAAUUGAUAUCCAAAACAGUUAUCCAAUCCCAAUAUAUCAAACUACAAUAAGUAAUAUAAACACAAUUAUCCCAGUAUAUUGAACCAUGACAAAAAUAUAAAUGUAAACAUAGUAGGUUGUCAGUCUUCAAACAUGUUACGCCACCUAAGACGCAAGACCCCUUGCAUAGUUCACGGAAUGUUGCUGAAUGGUCUUACUUAGGCCUAACUUCUAUUCCUUCAAGAAAGAGACCUCUCUUCCAAUUAUUUGUCUCCUUAACAUUCAUUUGGACUUCAUCUUCUAGGCCUGAAUUGAAGAACUCUCCGAUCUCAAUCUCCAACCACCCAUCACUUCUCACACUAGGACGUUGCAAUCCUACUGCUCUGUUAUGCUGCAUACCUUCCACUUCAACAUUUGGAUCCAAACAGACAAUUUUAGUAUUACUGUGGCCACCUUCGACACCAACUGAUAACUCUAUAGGACAGUUCUGAAAUCCUUCGGCAUCAAUCAUCUUGAACACAAGAUAAGCCGCAUACUGGGUAUUUGGGGACAAGGCAAGGGUAUUUAUCAUCCCACGAAUAUCAAGCCACCACACUUCAAGAAGCUCAGCAACUUCAGGGAACCUGUCCAAAAGUAGUUCUGCAAUGAUUAGAAUAUAGGAACUGAGUGAAAAGCUGAAAGUGGUUCAUAGCAUGUCUAUUUUUUUAUUUGUGCAAAUGCAAGUAAUUAGUUGUCAUAAUAGUAUUUUCUCCUUUAACUCUUUCAGCCCAUAACCCAAACAAGUUGACCUACACAGUUAAUAAGUUUAAGUUAUAUAUGUUGUUAUAGGAAAAGGUAUAAUAGUCAAAGUAAUUCACUGGCCACGGCUGCCAAGGACAGGUACUCAACCUCCACAAUGGCACAAAUGAACAUUUAACAGUAGAUAGCUUGGAUUCUACGACAAAAGUAAAUUCCUAAGAAAACAUGGUAUUGGUAAGAUGUAGUGCAAAUGCAGGUCUGUGUCCAGGUAUCUACGCAUGUGGCCUAGUCAGCUUCCGCAUAUUCCUGCAGCUGCAAGUGUAAGGAUGAAGUUCCAAAAAAUAGUAGACCUUAGCCAUAUGUGCCUAUCAAAUAUCUGAGGAGAUUAUAGACUACAAGGCCCAUACACAUGCUGACUCGGUUUGUUGGCAGCAUAACAGAUGCAAAUCUAGAAAUUGUCCAGUAUAAUGGUAUUGUAACAGUCACACUUUAUUUUUUAAGAAGUAAAAACAUUUUGGAGACAAAUAGUCGAAUUGAGAAUACAUUGUCACACUUUAUUUGAAACUGAAUUACGGAAGGAAUGUCAGAAAAUAUGGAAUUCAAUACAACUUGAAUGUAAUGAGCAUGGUUGACAAAGGUAACCAUAAACAUCAUCGGUCUUCAUACUCUUCCUUAACGACCACCUGCUGUCCUGACUAGUUAAGGACUUGGCAAAUAGAAUAAUGGAUUAAGUCUAAAUUUAUAGAAAGGAAUUUGAAAUUUAAUUUGGAACUAAAAACAAAUCAUGCAAAGUCAAUCGAUCAAGUACUUGUGUAGCAAUACCAAGGCUUAAAACAGGAACUGCAUUUUUAGCUGUAAAGUAACAAACAAAUUGGGCAUAGAUUUUAAAAAUGUGGUGAAAUGGUGCAACGAAAAAAUAUAUAGGAUUGUUGGUCGGAGCAACUAGGACCAAAUAAAGAAACUAUGCAGAUGAAGAAAUAACAGGAUUACAGAUGAAGGACUUAUGUGCUUCAAUCUGAACUCGGAUGCAAGAGAUAGCAGAGUGAAGAGUAUGGAUACAUGAUGCUGAUACUUAGGUGAAGUGAAGUGUUAUCGAUGGUGGAUGGCAGACCAUGGUGGAAAGGAAAAAAUCCCCCAUAUUAAGCCGUCAUAAGACACCAUAGUGCAGCCAUCCUUCACAAAUUGUCCAUAGUGGUUGUAAAAAAAAAAAAAAAAACACCAUGGCCGAUAUUAGACGAUAUUGGAAGUGAUAUGGAGGAACAGACUCCAAAUUAUAAGCUACGGGCAACAGAAACUUGUACAAGCACUGGUUUGACAAAAUGUGCUUUAAAUCUGGGUUUGAACCCAAGGAGUAGCUAUGUGAUUUGAUAUACGGCGUGGCUUUGAACACUACAGUAGCACCUUCUGGUCAUUCAUUCUUCACUAACUUGGAUUAGAAUAUUCACCAGGAGGCAGUUGAAAAUAUGAUUGCAAAAGACAAUUGAUUUUUAGAAGAAAAAGACAUGACAUACUCAAUUUUAGAGUAAAUGCUAAUCAGUAAUGACUUGAUUUAGCCAACAAGAAAGAUUCAUCAAUUCCUAGUGCAUCUGGAAAUUCAAAAGGCAAUUUACGGAGAUUGGUGAAGAAAAGAAAGGCAUAAGGCAUCUUCAUGGCUCAAUAAUGAAAAACUCAAGGAAAUGGAAUUAACAAUUCACAGAGAAGGCAGAAAGAACCAAUAGCGUAUCACUGGACACUUAUCCAUUUGCCUCAACUAAAUUUUGUAUUCAUAAAGGCGUAAUAAUAUAACUGUUAAUGAAAAUAUAUUGGGUGGUAAUAGAAAAUAAUAGUAUUAUGAUUAACACAUGACAUGAGAAAAAAUAGAAAACUUAAUAUCUAAGCUAACCUAGAAUUAGGCAUAGAAAUCCAGUUCCAAUAGCGUCGAUCAUCACCCCAAGCAAUGGAGAGAGAUCUAGCAGCAAGCAUAUAACACUUUUUUCCACUCUUCCUAUCCAAUUGAAAGCUCUACAUUCAUUUCAACACAUCCAAAGGCUUAUUAGCAAUCUGAACUAAAAACAUCUUAAAAUAUCAAUAGCUUUUUUCUCGAAAAUAAAUCCAAAUUUCAUAUUUUCUCCCUUUCCCUAUUGUCGGAGAGUACAAGAAGAUACCUUCUGAUCAUUGUCGAUGAUGAUAGGGAGAUCAGAGAGAGCGAGAUACAGAGCUUUUUUGGAUGGUACAUUAGCAAGGGAUGGAGAGUGUGAGAUGAUAGAGUCGAUGAAAUGAGAAUCGGAAGGGAGAAAUUGAUUCCAGACGGCGUCAGAAUCGGCUGCAGAUAGGAAAGUCUUGGAAACAACGGAGAGUCUGCCGGCAUCAGCCGGAGUUGUGCGAGAGAUUAUGGCGGAAAUGCAUCCUUCCGAUAAUUCCUCAAACUCUGUCAUUCUUUUGCUUUUUUUUUACUUCUGAAGAAGAAAACAAGAAUGAGAGGAGUGAAUGAGAGAGGUGGAAAUAGUUGUAGUCGUUGCAGCAAGUGUGUGAACCGAAGGGAAGAAGGUUCAACAAUCAAGUCAAGUCUACUUUAUAGUUUGUUUUUAGUAUUUACAAAUUCAUAUAUUUAAACAUGUUUCCCGCAAUGUUCCAGAAAUCGAAUGUUAAUUAAACUCGGAAUGUAAGUCUUAUUUUUUUUAUUUUUUUAUAGUUUUAUUAACAAUUUUGGGAACUUGUAAAACUUGCCUUUUGGGAACUUAUGAUUUUGUAAGUUUAUUUUGUAUUUUGAUGUUUAGUUGAACAAAUUGUUUUAUUAUGGUGGUUGAGAAAACCUUUAUAAUUUAGUCAUAUUUUGCACUAUUAAACUAUUUACAAUAUUAUAUUAGUAAACUCGUACGAGUUCUCGAGUCGAAUUUAUCUAAACAAAACGAAUUGAAGUAAACUCUCGAGUUGUAAAAUCUUGAUCCCCACGUAUUCUUUUUCUAGACUAAAAUUGUUCAUGUAGAUUUCAAGUUAUUUUUAAGGUAAGUUCCCCAAAAAAGUUAUUUUUUAAGUUAUUUUUCUUUUCUUUUUACCAAAGCAUAAAUUUAAAUCAUAUCAUUGACAAAGUAGUAAUAAUGUUAUAAACUAGUAAAAUUAAGAUAAUUAUAUAAAAAAUAAUUAGGACUAACUAGUAAAAUUUCUAUUAAAUAACUUUUAAUUUUAUAUGCAAAAGAUUGUUUAAUGUUUACACCACCACACCCGUUUCAAACUUUAUGUACUUAUAUCUACGUAAACAAAUAUUUAUAUAUAUAUAUUUGAUAAAAUUUAUAUAAAAUUACCAAUAUUCUAUACCAUUUAUGAACACUUUAUAUAAUUUUCUAUCAUUUAAAACUUUUUGGUUCCUAUAAAAUUACCAAUUUGGUUUUUCAUUUAAAAAUGAUUUUUUGUCCCUAUAAAAUUGAACUUUUGUUUUUCAUUUCUAUAAAAUUAAUGAUCUAUGCAUUUUUAUUGAACAUUUUUAAUGUUGGUAAAUCUCAACAAAAUAUCAAAUGAUUUUAAUUUUGAACAAGUAUAUAUGUCAAAUAUUGAAUGUGGAAAAGUUGAGACUUCAAAUCUUCAAUUUGUCAUCUAAGACACAAGACUGCUUAAUUCUUUUCCUUAGGACUAACUUCUAUUCCUUAAAAGAAAGAAAUUUCUCUUCUUCUCAACACUCUUGUUCACAAUAACACUCAUUUGCACUUCUUCAUCUUCAAGGCUUGGAUUGAAGAACUCCCCCAUUUCAAUCUCCAACCACCCAUCGCUUCUCACAAAUGGUUAGAGAUUUAGCAGCAAUCACAUGCCACUUUUUUCCACUUCUUUUGUCCAAUUGAAAACUCUGCAUUUCAAACUAAUUCAAGACUUAUUGUCAGCAUUCUGAACUAAACAUAUCAAAAAUCACAAUAUAUAUUUUACAUCAAUCAAUUGAGCAUUCGUAUGAAGCUGUAAAAAAUACCACAUUCACCUAUGUUUUGAAAUUAAUGGUUUCACAAUCUUCUUUCUUAAACUGUUGUAGUAGAGUUGAAACUCUGCAAGUAUAAAAAUGGGUUGAAAUCUUAAAGAUAUUAGAUGUCGAUACGAGUUAAGGACAUUUUACAGUGCAUAACCAAUAUCACAUCUUUUUAUUUAUAUACAUUUACAGGGCACAAUAAAAAAUACGAACAAAUGAAACAAAAUUGUUUAUUUAUUUAACUAAUAAAAUUGUAAGGAUGGUUGAAAUAAAUAUGAAUGUGCAUUCCAGACCAGAGGUACUUUUAUCCUUGAUAAAACUGAAUGGUUUAGACGUUUAGUCCAAUUUGUGAGGUACAUGUGAAGAAAUUUUUGGUUUAUUAUUCGUUUUGGAAUGGUUCAUGAGCUUAACAUGGGGUCUAUUGAUUUUGAGUUGAUUGCAAAGAAAGUGUUUGAUAGUUUUUUUUUUUUACGUUACAUAAUUUGGGAUAUUAUUCAACAUUGUAAGACUUUUUUUAGGAAAUUUUAUGAAAACUCUGGUGUUGAGUUUAUGCGGAGACAAACAAACGAGGUUGCUAAAAGUUUAUCUUAGACAUCCACAUUAUGAGCUAAUUUCCUGAUAUUAAUUAAAAUAUCAAAUUGAAUUGAACACACCUUGAUUAAUGAAAUGUUAUAAGUCUGUUUCUCUAAAAACAUUAUAAGGAUACCAAUUUAAUAAAUGGUAUUGCUAAUGAGUGAUCUAAAGAGGACUUUUCUUUUGGUCAAGUAGCCUAGCGGCUAGAGAAAUUUACCUUAAAGGUGAAUAAGUGGAGUGUACGGGGUUCGAACCCUGGUCCCUGCAUAUAAUAUGCAUUAUCCCUUAUUAAGUGAGCUAAGCUCACAUGACUGAUGACUUUUAAGAAUUCCUAAUUAAGAAAAUGUUUAUUGAAUUUCCAAUUUAGCCCUAAUAUUAGAGACCAGGAAAACCAGUUUACUUACUAUUAUGUUGUUAACGAUAACAAGCCCUAAUAUUCGAGAAAUUUGAGGGUUACAAAGAAAAAUAACUUUCGACAUUGUCAAUAAUGAUAGGGGGUCAAAUAGAGCAAGAUAGAGAGCCUUUUCGGUUGGGGCUAUGGCAAGGGAAGGGGACUCUAAGAUGAUAGAGUUGAUAAAAAUAUAAUCAUAACAGAGAAAUUGAUUCUAGACAGUGUCAAAAUCGACGAUAGAGAGGAAAGAAAGUCUUGGAAACAACGGAGAGCAUGCAAGCAUUGACCAAAGUCGUAUAAGAAAGUAUUGCGCCAAUGCAUCCUUUCGAUAAUUCUUUAAAGAGAAAUGAUACUUGUACAACAUUUUAUGACAACUUUUGUAACAACUUUCUCUUUUAUACUUUAUGUUUUUAAUUUAUAUCUCCAUUAUUUUGAUUUUCGCGUCAAUGCUUAAUUUUCUAUGUUUUUACUUUCUCUCUAUUAUUUUGAUUUUCCUGUCAAUACUUAAUUUUCUUUAUAAAUCUAUGGUUUUUUUUUUAUUUUAUAAAUUGUCAUAUAAAAGAUUGUUCAAAUUUCGUUAUUUUCCUUUUUGCCAUUCUUUUUCCUUUUACCUAUGAAAAAUAAAUAACUGCGUAUAAACAGAAAACAUAACAAGAUUUUUUUUUUUCUUUCAAAAGAGAUUUAAAAUUGAAAUUUGGUUUAGUCGUUCGACUAUUUAUACUAGGUUUUUCAGGGUUAAAUAGAAUUUGGAUCUCUAUAAUGAAUAAAGAUAGAAAAUUAUGGCCCAAUGUCCCGAAUAGGAGCUGAGUUAAGAACUUAAGAUAAGAGCUUAAUUUACUGAUUUGUCUCUAUAAAAUAAAAUAUUAAAAUCUAAUAAAAUAUAAAUAUAAAAUAAGAGUUUAAUUCCCUUAAAAAAGAGUUUAAUUCAUAUAAUUGGUAAGUGUAAAGUUACUUUACACCUACAUCCCAUAAUUGUUGUCAUGUUAUUUAGGGUGCAGGGUUAUUUCAAGAAAACAAUAAGAAAAAUUUAUAGAAAAAAUCAUUUUUGUAAUUUUGAAGUGUUUGUUUAGUUUUUUUUUUUUUUAACUCUAAUGAAAAGUAUCAGAGAUUCAGAAUUAGCUUUAGAUUAUUAUCUUUUUCUAUUAUUCUAUUAUUGUUGAAACUUUUGUGAUGAUUUUUUUUUUUGAACAAGCUGAAACUUUUGUGAUGAUAAAGCAGUAAAAAGGAUAAAGUUAUUUUAUUUUAGCUCUUGGCAUUCCAAAUGGGAUGCGCCCAUUAACCGGUAGCCCAAUAUAAUUGUUUCCUACAUCCCCAAAUGAAAUCAAACGCGGAAUCAAACCAAACAAAACAAAACAAACCAAACACGUAAACAAACUGAAUCAUCAUCUUUGUUCAUCAUCAUCACCAUCGGAAUCUUCAAUCUCAUCAUCAACACCGUCGUUCAUCAUCAUCACCGUGAUUCCCCAUCAUCAUCACCGUACCGAAAUCAUCAUCAUCAUCACCACCGUCAUUCAUCAUCAUCACCGUCAAUCAAAAUUGUAUAUGUUAGUUGAAAAUGGUUUCAGAGUGUUAAUUUGGUUCAAUGACAGUCACAAAUGUCUUUAUUAUAGUAUGUUUUGUAUAAAAUUAUGCCAAAACCAUCUUGUUGUGGAAAUGGUUUCUGUGAGUUGUACUCCAAAAUCAUUAGAUGUACUUAAUGGUUUCCAACAGGUGAAAAAAACUAAGAAUCUAGAGCCAUUGCCAUCAUUCAGUUUUGGACUGACACAAUUGGAGGAGGAGGAAAGAAAUGGUUUCUGUGAGUUGUAGUCCAAAACCAUUUUGCUGUGGAAAUGGUUUUUGUGAGUUGUACUCCAAAACCACCAAAAUCUCCAUCGGCGGUGUCUUCUUCUUGAAUAGUAAAUUCAUUUUCCAACAAUUCAUUUUUAGAGUUUUCACUACAAAGCCACCAAAAUCACUAAGCUCAAACACUGUUUCGAUCCAUCAAGAAACGAACUGAUCAAAGAGAAGGAGGUAGAAAGUUUUUCUGUUCAUAUCUUAAUCCUUAGAUUUACGCUUGUUUACUGUUUGUCUUUGAAAAACAAUUUCGAAAAUGAGAAGUAGGAAGAAAAGGAUUGAUGAAUAUAUAAUUUGUUUUUGAAACGACGGGGUUUUGAGUUUCGAUGCGGUGGUGCCACCACAGGCCACCGCGCCGGAAAAGCAAUUCUCGCCCAGAGAAGAAGAUAUAAGGUGGCGCUGGUUUGAAUGUCCUAAAUAGAGAAGUGAGCAAAGUAUUUUUAGAGAGGUUUUUUUUUUUUUUUUUUUUUUUGUCAAAAUGAAGAUAUACCUCUUUCCUUUAUUUCUUGAUUUUGUGUAGUUUGAAAAGUCUAGGAUUAUUACACGUGUACACUAGAUCUGAUGGCUGUGAAGUGUUUAUGCAGGGUGCAUAAGGAAAUGUCUUAUGCAUAAUAACUUUUGCCUUCCAAAUGCUAAUGGUAGUGAACAUGUCCUUUGGCUGUUGUUUCUAUCCUAUGACAUUCUCAUGUGUCUUAAUGUUUUUGGGGAUUUUCAGAAUUUGGAGAGUGUUUACCAUGUUUUUGGGUAGAAAAUGUGUUUAUCACCUAUUCGGAUUAUACAAUCCAAAUACCUCAUUAUAGCAGUGCGCAUUUUUUUAUUUAUUAUAAAAUCCGAACACUCCAUACCAUCCUUAUUGUGCCAAAAAUUCAGAAAAAAUUGGUUCGGAUUAUAUAAUCCGAAUUGUAUUAGCACAAAGAUUGAGUCUAUUUAAGACAUAGAUAGUCAAUUUAAGAACUGUACUAACCAUCAUAACCCUCCUCCUUGUGUUUCAGGUCAUUGUUAGUUGUUCUUGUCAAGUCCAAUAGAAAAUCAUAAGGGGUACAAAGUAAUACAAUAUAAUCAUCUUCACCAAUAUCGAAUAAUUUAUAUUACAGAAGAAGUUUUUAUUAUCUUCGUCAACAUGUCCAGAGCACAAAAGAUGUUUUUAUUAUCUUCGUCAACAUGUACAAAAACACAUAAACUUGAACGAUAAUACGGCUAUCUAUAAGGGGACGCUUUUACUACUAGGGUAUUUUUUGACAUUUUACAUGUAAGGUCUAUGUAGUGUAUGUUUGGUUUUAAAUUUGGAGGGUCAAAAUUGAUUCUAUAGGUUGAAGAAUUGAUUUUAUCAUGUUUGAAUGAUUUGAAGGAGAAUUGAUUCAACUUAAAGUUAAAAAUUGUAGCUUUUGCCUUCUAUAAUUGGUAUCACUAUGAAUUUGCAGAAAUCACACUCACAUCAUGAUUUUGUAGAAACUCAAAAAUGUCCUCAUGAGUUUAACUUAUUGGUAUGGACAAUGUAUAACAUAUGCAAGGUCCGAAUUCGAAUCUCGGUCACCACAAAAAAAAAAAAAAAAACUAAAAAAUGUAACUUUUGUAAAAUCACGAUAGCUCAUCGUAUUUUUGUCAAACUCACUGCUAAAACCAUAAACAUAAUUUGCUUCUAUUUUAAUCAAUCCAUAAAAAAUAUGGAGAAAAAAAAGAAAAAAGAAGAGGUGCAGUCUCCAUGACUUUUAAUUAUUUAAAUUGAGUCAUUUUAUUAUUCUGAACUUGGGUUUAUAAUUUAAUUCAUUCAUACUAUUAAAAAAACAAUUCUUAUAUUUUGCAGUGGUUUAAAUUGCAGUCCACUUAAGACAUUGCUUCCACUUAAAUCAAUAUUGUUACUCAAGCACAGUGUCCAUCACAGACCAGUAGUGAGUACUGGAAGGAGAGUCAAUCCUUCUUCAUAAUACGUUUCAGCUUACUAUUCAUGAGUAAUAAACUAAUAAUAUUGAUUAAAAUAGAACCAAUGCCUUAAACAGACCAGAAUUUAAAUCACUGGAAUAAAUUCAGUCCCCAACGAUCAUAGUUGAGGGUUCCAAAUCAAUAAUUUGCAGCAAAUUCAUAUUGCAUCAAAGUAUAUUAUAUAGUUCAAACAAUCAAUAGUAAUAAGUGAUAUAAACACAACUAUCCCAAUAUAUUGAACCAUGACAUGUAAAUAAAAGUUGUACAUACAUAUGCUUUACAAAGAAACAGUUUGGAAGAAACAUAUAUGUAACAUAGUAUUUUGACAAUCUUCAAACCACCACUAGAUGCAAGACCCCUUUCAUAGUUCAUGGAAUGUUACUUAAUUGUCUUACUUAGGCCUGACUUCUAUUCCUUCAAGA